AGAGUUUGAUCCUGGCUCAGAGUGAACGCUGGCGGCAGGCCUAACACAUGCAAGUCGAGCGGCAGCGCGGGGGCAACCCUGGCGGCGAGCGGCGGACGGGUGAGGAAUGCAUCGGAAUCUACCUUGUUGUGGGGGAUAACGUAGGGAAACUUACGCUAAUACCGCAUACGACCUACGGGUGAAAGUGGGGGACCUUCGGGCCUCACGCGAUAAGAUGAGCCGAUGCCGGAUUAGCUAGUUGGUGGGGUAAAGGCCCACCAAGGCGACGAUCCGUAGCUGGUCUGAGAGGAUGAUCCCCCACACUGGUACUGAGACACGGACCAGACUCCUACGGGAGGCAGCAGUGAGGAAUAUUGGACAAUGGGCGCAAGCCUGAUCCAGCCAUGCCGCGUGCAGGAUGACGGUCCUAUGGAUUGUAAACUGCUUUUAUACGAGAAGAAACACUCCAACGUGUUGGAGCUUGACGGUAUCGUAAGAAUAAGGAUCGGCUAACUCCGUGCCAGCAGCCGCGGUAAUACGGAGGAUCCAAGCGUUAUCCGGAAUCAUUGGGUUUAAAGGGUCCGUAGGCGGUUUAAUAAGUCAGUGGUGAAAGCCCAUCGCUCAACGGUGGAACGGCCAUUGAUACUGUUAAACUUGAAUUAUUAGGAAGUAACUAGAAUACGUAGUGUAGCGGUGAAAUGCUUAGAGAUUACAUGGAAUACCAAUUGCGAAGGCAGGUUACUACUAAUUGAUUGACGCUGAUGGACGAAAGCGUGGGUAGCGAACAGGAUUAGAUACCCUGGUAGUCCACGCCGUAAACGAUGGAUACUAGCUGUUGGGAGCAAUCUCAGUGGCUAAGCGAAAGUGAUAAGUAUCCCACCUGGGGAGUACGUUCGCAAGAAUGAAACUCAAAGGAAUUGACGGGGGCCCGCACAAGCGGUGGAGCAUGUGGUUUAAUUCGAUGAUACGCGAGGAACCUUACCAAGGCUUAAAUGUAGAUUGACCGAUUUGGAAACAGAUCUUUCGCAAGACAAUUUACAAGGUGCUGCAUGGUUGUCGUCAGCUCGUGCCGUGAGGUGUCAGGUUAAGUCCUAUAACGAGCGCAACCCCUGUUGUUAGUUGCCAGCGAGUCAAGUCGGGAACUCUAACAAGACUGCCAGUGCAAACUGUGAGGAAGGUGGGGAUGACGUCAAAUCAUCACGGCCCUUACGCCUUGGGCUACACACGUGCUACAAUGGCCGGUACAGAGAGCAGCCACUGGGCGACCAGGAGCGAAUCUAUAAAACCGGUCACAGUUCGGAUCGGAGUCUGCAACUCGACUCCGUGAAGCUGGAAUCGCUAGUAAUCGGAUAUCAGCCAUGAUCCGGUGAAUACGUUCCCGGGCCUUGUACACACCGCCCGUCAAGCCAUGGAAGCUGGGGGUGCCUGAAGUCGGUGACCGCAAGGAGCUGCCUAGGGUAAAACUGGUAACUAGGGCUAAGUCGUAACAAGGUA
RNAcentral lists this ribosomal RNA (1473 nucleotides) under metagenome. Its description in RNAcentral is "bacterial SSU rRNA". It matches the Rfam family "Bacterial small subunit ribosomal RNA". The record is from RNAcentral.